AAAUGAAUUGACGGGGGCCCGCACAAGCGGUGGAGCAUGUGGUUUAAUUCGAGGCAACGCGAAGAACCUUACCAAGGCUUGACAUGGGGACGAAAGCUGCGGAAACGCGGCCGCCCUUCGGGGCGUCCCACACAGGUGGUGCAUGGUUGUCGUCAGCUCGUGUCGUGAGAUGUUGGGUUAAGUCCCGCAACGAGCGCAACCCUUGCGCCCAGUUGCCAGCACGUAGAGGUGGGCACACUGGGGGGACUGCCGUGGACAACACGGAGGAAGGUGGGGACGACGUCAAAUCAUCAUGCCCCUUAUGUCUUGGGCUACACACGUGCUACAAUGGGCGCUACAAAGUGAUGCGAGGCAGCGAUGCUAAGCGGAACACGAAAGGCGCCCCCAGUUCGGAUUGCAGGCUGCAACCCGCCUGCAUGAAGCCGGAAUCGCUAGUAAUCGCGAAUCAGCAUGUCGCGGUGAAUACGUUCCCGGGCCUUGUACACACCGCCCGU
Molecule: ribosomal RNA, 494 nt
Filed under: uncultured bacterium
Lineage: Bacteria
Description: bacterial SSU rRNA
Rfam family: Bacterial small subunit ribosomal RNA
Source: RNAcentral